Non-coding RNA from Acanthosepion pharaonis, 97 nucleotides. The record is from the annotation of a GenBank genome assembly. Lineage: Eukaryota; Metazoa; Mollusca; Cephalopoda; Sepiida; Sepiidae.
GGCAAUAUUACUUUGAAACACCGGUACGAUCACUGAAGUUAAGCAACGUUGAUCCUGAUCAGUAUCUAGAUGGGUGACCGCUUGGGAAUACCAGGUA